This 347-nucleotide unclassified non-coding RNA is filed under the name Hevea brasiliensis (rubber tree). Lineage: Eukaryota; Viridiplantae; Streptophyta; Magnoliopsida; Malpighiales; Euphorbiaceae. The record is from RNAcentral.
GAUUUAUGCUAUCAAUGGUAAUAUGAGGGUGGUUUCAAUGUGCAUAUCUGCACUACAAAUAGCACGCCCUUUUAUUUUACUUGAUGCCAAGAAAUUUAGGUCAUAUUACUCUUAAAUUAAGAGCCCAAAUUAGUAAACAAAUGAUAAGUUCUUGUAUUUGAAGAGCUCAUUUCUCAUCAGUCCCGUAAUUUUGUUAUAAGAAUUAAUAUUUGUUCUGUUUAGAAAUCCUUUUUGGAUAGAAUGGUGGUUAGUUUAGUUUACUAAAUAAGAAUUAACUCUUUUGAGUAUCUAUUAGUGUUAGUGUUUGUGAGAUGGUGAAAGUAAAAUUUUGUUUCAUAGCCUUUCAA